GAUGAACGCUGGCGGCGUGCCUAAUACAUGCAAGUCGAGCGAACGGACGAGAAGCUCGCUUUUCUGAUGUUAGCGGCGGACGGGUGAGUAACACGUGGAUAACCGACCUAUAAGACUGGGAUAACUUCGGGAAACCGGAGCUAACACCGGAUAAUAUUUUGAACCGCAUGGUUCAAAAGUGAAAGACGGUCUUGCUGUCACUUAUAGAUGGAUCCGCGCUGCAUUAGCUAGUUGGUAAGGUAACGGCUUACCAAGGCAACGAUGCAUAGCCGACCUGAGAGGGUGAUCAGCCACACUGGAACUGAGACACGGUCCAGACUCCUACGGGAGGCAGCAGUAGGGAAUCUUCCGCAAUGGGCGAAAGCCUGACGGAGCAACGCCGCGUGAGUGAUGAAGGUCUUCGGAUCGUAAAACUCUGUUAGUAGGGAAGAACAUAUGUGUAAGUAACUGUGCACAUCUUGACGUUACCUAAUCAGAAAGCCACGGCUAACUACGUG
This 497-nucleotide ribosomal RNA is filed under the name uncultured bacterium. RNAcentral's name for it is "partial 16S ribosomal RNA". It matches the Rfam family "Bacterial small subunit ribosomal RNA", at positions 28 to 507 of the family's 1533-position model. The record is from RNAcentral.